UAGAGUUGAAUAAUGGUC
This 18-nucleotide non-coding RNA is filed under the name Arabidopsis thaliana (thale cress). Lineage: Eukaryota; Viridiplantae; Streptophyta; Magnoliopsida; Brassicales; Brassicaceae. The record is from RNAcentral.